GACGAACGCUGGCGGCGUGCUUAACACAUGCAAGUCGAGCGGUAAGGCCCUUUCGGGGGUACACGAGCGGCGAACGGGUGAGUAACACGUGGGUGACCUGCCCUCAGCUCUGGGAUAAGCCCGGGAAACUGGGUCUAAUACCGGAUAUGACUCCAUGACGCAUGUUGUGGGGUGGAAAGCCUUGUGCGGCUGAGGAUGGGCCCGCGGCCUAUCAGCUUGUUGGUGGGGUGAUGGCCUACCAAGGCGACGACGGGUA
This 256-nucleotide ribosomal RNA is filed under the name uncultured bacterium. Its description in RNAcentral is "partial 16S ribosomal RNA". It matches the Rfam family "Bacterial small subunit ribosomal RNA", at positions 28 to 285 of the family's 1533-position model. The record is from RNAcentral.